CUUGGUCAUUUAGAGGAAGUAAAAGUCGUAACAAGGUUUCCGUAGGUGAACCUGCGGAAGGAUCAUUACAAAUCUUUGCGGGCUGGCCGCCGUGAAUGCGGUGUGCUGGACUCACAUUAGCACAAGGUCGCAAGGCCUUGAUGUUUACGCUUGUUUGUUUGACAGAGUUAGUUGAGAAUAAAAAAGAAAGACAACUUUUAACAAUGGAUCUCUUGGCUCUUGCAACGAUGAAGAACGCAGUAAAGUGCGAUAUGUAGUGCGAUUUGCAUGAAUCUGUGAGUCAUCUAAUCUUUGAACGCAACUUGCGCCUUUUACGAGGCAUGUUUGUUUGAGUGCCGCAAUCUUCUGCAGCGAUGCGAUUUGACUCUUGUCUUUGCUGACCGAGUUUAAAAGGAGCUAGAGGAUGGUCAGUCUUGACUAGCCCGAGUGCUAAGCAUUCUUGGGUCUAGCGCUGGAUUGUUCAUUACAUGUAUUUUCUAUUUUGGCCUCAAAUCAAGCAAGACUACCCGCUGAACUUAAGCAUAUCAAUAAGCGGAGG
This 538-nucleotide ribosomal RNA is filed under the name Basidiomycota sp. CC 15-08. Its description in RNAcentral is "eukaryotic LSU rRNA". The stretch from base 193 to 338 matches the Rfam family "5.8S ribosomal RNA". The record is from RNAcentral. Lineage: Eukaryota; Fungi; Basidiomycota.